RNAcentral lists this ribosomal RNA (465 nucleotides) under Vreelandella stevensii. Its description in RNAcentral is "partial 16S ribosomal RNA". It matches the Rfam family "Bacterial small subunit ribosomal RNA", at positions 338 to 795 of the family's 1533-position model. Lineage: Bacteria; Pseudomonadati; Pseudomonadota; Gammaproteobacteria; Oceanospirillales; Halomonadaceae. The record is from RNAcentral.
CCUACGGGAGGCUGCAGUGGGGAAUAUUGGACAAUGGGGGCAACCCUGAUCCAGCCAUGCCGCGUGUGUGAAGAAGGCCCUCGGGUUGUAAAACACUUUCAGUGAGGAAGAACGCCUGGUGGUUAAUACCCAUCAGGAAAGACAUCACUCACAGAAGAAGCACCGGCUAACUCCGUGCUAGCAGCCGCGGUAAUACGGAGGGUGCGAGCGUUAAUCGGAAUUACUGGGCGUAAAGCGCGCGUAGGUGGCUUGAUAAGCCGGUUGUGAAAGCCCCGGGCUCAACCUGGGAACGGCAUCCGGAACUGUCAAGCUAGAGUGCAGGAGAGGAAGGUAGAAUUCCCGGUGUAGCGGUGAAAUGCGUAGAGAUCGGGAGGAAUACCAGUGGCGAAGGCGGCCUUCUGGACUGACACUGACACUGAGGUGCGAAAGCGUGGGUAGCAAACAGGAUUAGAUACCCUGGUAGUC